GCCGGGCAUUGUGGCGGGCGCCUGUGGUCCCAGCUACUUGGGAGGCUGAGGCAGGAGACUCGCUUGAGCCCAGAAGUUGGAGGUUGCUGUGAGCUAUGAUGCUACAGCACUCUACCCAGGGGGACAACUUGAGGCUCUAUCUCAAAAAAAAAAAAAAAAAAAAGAAAGAAAGAGAGUCUCACUUUUGUUGCCCUCAGUAGAGUGCUAUGACAUCACAGCUCACAGCAACCUCAAACUCCUGGACCCAAACUCCUGCC
Molecule: small RNA, 257 nt
Filed under: Otolemur garnettii (small-eared galago)
Lineage: Eukaryota; Metazoa; Chordata; Mammalia; Primates; Galagidae
Description: Metazoan signal recognition particle RNA (ENSOGAG00000034663.1)
Source: RNAcentral